CAAGUCUUGUCUUUUCAUUUUAACAUUCGUUAGCAAAAGAAUAGAAAUAGAUCGUCUCGAAAUCUUUCUUAACUCUUUUAUUAGUUUGUUUUAAAAUUAUCAAAUUAGUUUCGAAAUUAUGUUAACUGAAAUUCGUAUACGACCACGUCAGGUCCUUUUGUUGAUUAUAAUCUUCUUCGGAGCGCUUAUAGUUGUUCAUCGGAAUGCAAAAAGAUGUUCCUUGCCCGAAAAGCUCCAAACAUUCUAUGACAAUAAUCAUCUACCAACGAUUUACGCCAUCACACCAACUUAUGCACGCCCAGCUCAAAAAGCUGAACUCACCAGAUUAUCACAUGUGUUUAUGCUUGUGCCAAAUCUUCACUGGAUUUUAGUAGAAGACGCCAACUCCACCAGCAAUCUAGUGCGAAACCUUCUCAUUCGAGCUGGUUUAGAAAAAAGAUCGACUCAUCUGAAUAUUAAGACUCCUGCAGCUUUCAAACUGCAAGGCAAAGACCCCAAUUGGAUAAAGCCUCGUGGAGUGGAACAGCGCAAUUUGGCCCUGCAAUGGAUUCGCUCCAAUAUCAAACCCAACGAUGGCCAUGGUAUUGUUUUUUUCAUGGAUGACGACAACACGUACACAGUGGAGUUGUUUGAAGAAAUGUGUAAAAUCGAACGAGGAAGAGUGGGAGUGUGGCCUGUAGGUCUUGUCGGUGGUCUGAUGGUAGAGAAGCCGGUCUUAAACAGCGACAAUCAAGUGAUUGGCUUUAAUUCUGCUUGGCGUCCAGAAAGACCAUUUCCCAUCGACAUGGCCGGAUUUGCUGCUAGUGUGGAUUUGCUAUUUAAAUUUCCUGAAGCGGUCUUUUCAUACGAAGUCCAGCGGGGCUAUCAAGAGAGUGAGAUUUUGAGACAUCUCACUGUGGUUUCAGAUUUACAACCACUCGCAAAUCUAUGCACUGAUGUACUCAUUUGGCAUACUCGAACAGAAAAAACUAAACUAUCUGCGGAAGAGGCUCUCAUAAAAAAAGGACAACGUUCCAAUACUGGAAUGGAGGUCUAGAUAUAAGACUUGCAUUAAUCUUUUCAUCAUCUUCAAUAACUCGGACUCAGGAGGCUGUGAAAUUAAGGGCUCUUUAUGUUUUUCAGAUCUAAACCAAAAGUGGUAACUAACUACGGUGUCUCUCUUCAGUUCAAGCACGUCGAUUUCUUCUUCUUCCACGUAAUCCACCAUUUCGCUUUUUUCCACCAAUCACUUGUAUUCGCCGAUAGGGUAUUUGAGAGAGAUGUUUCAGGCAGGAAAAGUAAAUACACUUUAAGAAUUUGUGGCUGUAGUCAACAGAUCUGAACCAAAAGUGGUGAACUAAGGUGUAAGGCACCUUUAGCUACACACACCUGGUCGUCAAAUUUGGAAUUCCUUGCAAUAAGAAAUUGGGCAGGAGCCCCAUCAGUUGUGAUUGAUACGAGUUUAAACAAAGGUAGUUUAAUCUGGUUAUUACAUGCUUUGACUUUCUGUGAAAAUAUUCCUUUUAAGGAAAUCAUACUUAGCAAUUCCCCUUUCAUAGAGAAAUCAUCGA
Molecule: RNA transcript, 1550 nt
Organism: Eupeodes corollae
Lineage: Eukaryota; Metazoa; Arthropoda; Insecta; Diptera; Syrphidae
Gene: GlcAT-I
Gene name: galactosylgalactosylxylosylprotein 3-beta-glucuronosyltransferase I
Exons: 3
Source: RefSeq, a predicted model, not a curated record